RNAcentral lists this ribosomal RNA (431 nucleotides) under uncultured bacterium. Its description in RNAcentral is "bacterial SSU rRNA". It matches the Rfam family "Bacterial small subunit ribosomal RNA", at positions 29 to 507 of the family's 1533-position model. The record is from RNAcentral.
AACGAACGCUGGCGGCAGGCCUAACACAUGCAAGUCGAGCGCCCCGCAAGGGGAGCGGCGGACGGGUGAGUAACGCGUGGGAACGUACCCUUUGCUACGGAAUAGCCUCGGGAAACUGGGAGUAAUACCGUAUGUGCCCUUCGGGGGAAAGAUUUAUCGGCAAAGGAUCGGCCCGCGUUGGAUUAGGUAGUUGGUGGGGUAAUGGCCUACCAAGCCGACGAUCCAUAGCUGGUUUGAGAGGAUGAUCAGCCACACUGGGACUGAGACACGGCCCAGACUCCUACGGGAGGCAGCAGUGGGGAAUCUUAGACAAUGGGCGCAAGCCUGAUCUAGCCAUGCCGCGUGAGCGAUGAAGGCCUUAGGGUUGUAAAGCUCUUUCAGUGGGGAAGAUAAUGACUGUACCCACAGAAGAAGCCCCGGCUAACUCCGUG